UCUGAAAACUCCUCUUUCAACAUAUCUUCAUCCUUAGUGAAUGCCAAGCAUUUUGCUGCACUAUUAGGAAGUUGCACAUGAUUUAAAAUCUCUCCAACUCCUGGGUGGCAUUUACUGACUCUGGAAUUGUCGGUCCUCAGGUAACUAAACAGUCUGAUACUGGAUCUACAUGCCCUGCCACAGGUAAGGAUCUGUCUGCGGCAAUUCACUCUGAGCUGACCCCUGCUGUGACAGUACGGGAGGGCUGUCUUCAAAAAGUAUUGGUGAAAUGUCUCCUAAAUCUUCAGUGGAUUGCUGGAAAUUCUCCAUGUUCUCUUUUACUGCAUCGAUAUUUAGAAAAAUAAUC
Molecule: long non-coding RNA, 346 nt
Organism: Hemiscyllium ocellatum (epaulette shark)
Lineage: Eukaryota; Metazoa; Chordata; Chondrichthyes; Orectolobiformes; Hemiscylliidae
Exons: 3
Source: RefSeq, a predicted model, not a curated record